CCAGACUCCUACGGGAGGCAGCAGUGGGGGAUAUUGCACAAUGGGGGGAACCCUGAUGCAGCGACGCCGCGUGGGUGAAGGAGUAUUUCGGUAUGUAAAGCCCUAUCGGCAGGGAAGAAGCAAGACGGUACCUGACUAAGAAGCCCCGGCUAACUACGUGCCAGCAGCCGCGGUAAUACGUAGGGGGCGAGCGUUAUCCGGAUUCACUGGGUGUAAAGGGAGCGUAGACGGCCAAGCAAGCCAGGGGUGAAAGCCCGGGGCCCAACCCCGGGACUGCCCUUGGAACUGCUUGGCUGGAGUGCGGGAGGGGCAGGCGGAAUUCCUGGUGUAGCGGUGAAAUGCGUAGAUAUUAGGAAGAACACCAGUGGCGAAGGCGGCUUUCUGGACUGAAACUGACGCUGAGGCACGAAAGCGUGGGGAGCGAACAGGAUUAGAUACCCUGGUAC
Molecule: ribosomal RNA, 446 nt
Filed under: uncultured bacterium
Lineage: Bacteria
Description: partial 16S ribosomal RNA
Rfam family: Bacterial small subunit ribosomal RNA
Source: RNAcentral